This 73-nucleotide transfer RNA is filed under the name Canis lupus familiaris (dog). It matches the Rfam family "tRNA". Rfam says of the family: Transfer RNA (tRNA) molecules are approximately 80 nucleotides in length. Their secondary structure includes four short double-helical elements and three loops (D, anti-codon, and T loops). Further hydrogen bonds mediate the characteristic L-shaped molecular structure. tRNAs have two regions of fundamental functional importance: the anti-codon, which is responsible for specific mRNA codon recognition, and the 3' end, to which the tRNAs corresponding amino acid is attached (by aminoacyl-tRNA synthetases). tRNAs cope with the degeneracy of the genetic code in two manners: having more than one tRNA (with a specific anti-codon) for a particular amino acid; and 'wobble' base-pairing, i.e. permitting non-standard base-pairing at the 3rd anti-codon position. Lineage: Eukaryota; Metazoa; Chordata; Mammalia; Carnivora; Canidae. The record is from Rfam by way of RNAcentral. RNAcentral also lists the same sequence under 1 other name.
GCUUGGCUGGCUCAGUUGGUGGAGCAUGAGAUUCCUGAUCUCAGGGUUGUGAGUUUGAGCCCCACAUUGGGUG